Manis pentadactyla (Chinese pangolin) is the source of this 3154-nucleotide long non-coding RNA. RefSeq lists it as uncharacterized. The record is from RefSeq and is a predicted model, not a curated record. The transcript has 3 exons. Lineage: Eukaryota; Metazoa; Chordata; Mammalia; Pholidota; Manidae.
UUCAGAUGGCCAACAGGCACAUGAAAAGAUGGUCCACAUCGCUAAUCAUCAGGGAAAUGCAAAUUAAAACCACAAUGAGAUAUCACCUCACAACAGUUAGGAUGGCCAACAUCCAAAAGACAAACAACAACAAAUGCAGCGAGGAUGCAGAGAAAGGGGACCCCUCCUACACUGCUGGGGAAUUUCUUCAACUUGGUAAAGAAUAUCUACAAAAAAACCUGUAGUUAACAUAACACAUAAUAGUGAGAAGCUCAAGCUUUCCCACUAAGAUCAGGAACAAGGGAAGGAUAUGAAUGUCCCUUCUCACUACUGCUUCAUCACAGAAACUGGAAAGUCCUUUUUUAAUGCAGUAGUUGUCAGGGGGAAUACAAAUAUACAGAUUGUGAAGGAAGAAAUAAAACUGCAUGUGACAUAGAAAAUUCAAAAGAAUCAAAAAAAAUGAAUAAGGAAAGUCAAUUGCUGUCCUAUAUACUGGCAAUAAGCAAGUGGACUUUAAGAUAAAAGCAGUACUAUUUAUAUUGGCACUCCUAAAAAUGAAGUACUUAGGUACAAAUCUAAGAAACUAUUAUAAGAUCUGUAUAAGGAAAGCUACAAACCUGUGGCGAAAGAUAACAGAGAAGAACUAAAUGGAGAGAUACUCCAUGUUCAUUGAUAGGAAGACUCAAUAUUGUCAAGGUGCCAGUUCUCAUCUUGAUCUGUAAACUGAGUGCAAUCCCAAUGAAAAUCCCUGCAAGUAAUUUUGUGGAUAAUGACAAACUCUUUCUUAAUUUUAUAUGGAGAAGCAAAAGACCUAGAAUGCCCACACAAUAUUGAAGGAAAAGAGAAAGAGAACUAAUGCAAUACAACUUCACGACAUAAUAUAAAUAUAGCUACAGUAAUAAAGACUAUGUGGUAUUGGCAGAGGAAUAGACAAAUAUAUCAGUGGAACAGAACUUGUAAUCUCAUUUCCCAAACCUGUGUUUCUCCUUUAUUCUCAUAUUACUACCAUUUUACUCUUAACACUUCUGACACCAGAUGUGUGUGGGAUUCUACCGCCUCAACCAAUUCUGUAAUACUACCUGAGUGUCCGACAAUUUAACUCAAUUCUGACAGUUACCUCCAUGAUGAUGGCAUGAGAUCCCACAGGUUAAGGUCUCAGUCCCACAAGAUUGCCCCCACUUCAGAUGCCAAUCACAUGUAGUAGGUCCCUAGGUUACCCACAACUUCUGUCCUAGUUGGCUACAAAUUGGAGGUUCCUAUAUCCUACUCCUUCAGUUAGUUGAUUGCUGGAACAGCUCAUGUAGCUCAUAGAAACAGAGUAGAGUGUUCAGAAAUAGACCCACACCAAUAUAGUCAACUGAUCUUUGAAAAUGGAGCAAAGGCAAUACAAUGGAGCAAAGAAAGUCUCUUCAGCAAAAGGCGCUGGAACAACUGGACACACCGUCCACUGCAAAGAAGUGAAUCUAGGUAGAGGUUACACCCUUCGCAAAAAUUAGCUCAAAGUGGAUCAUAGACCUAAAUGUGGAAUGCAAAACUUAAAAAUUCUAGAACAUUGGAGAAUAUCUAGAUGACCUUAGAUAUGGCAAUGACUUCUUAGGUACAACACCAAAGGCAUGAUCCAUAAAGUAAUUGAAAUAAUGUACUUCAUUAAAGUAAAAACUUCCAUUCUUGAAAAGAAAAUGUCAAGAGAAUGAAAAGACAAGGCAUAGAAUCAGAUAGUAAUAAAGAAUUUUUAAUUCUUUCCAUUUUCACAGAUGUGUGUAUUUAUGAAGCUACCACCACAAUCAAAAGAAGAUUGCCAUCACCCUAAGAAAAAUUUAUCUUUAAGCCUUUUAUUAAAAACUAUAAAGAUCAUGGAACAGAGAUGGUUAUAUCAUAAGUCAGACAGCUAAGGAAAUUCACUUUUUAAAUAAAAAGCUAAUGAAUAUUGUAUAUAUUAUUAUUUUGAAUUUUUUUUUGUACAAUUUAUUUACAGUUUUAUACCUUUGUGGUCUGAAAAGUUGGUUGGUAGGAUUUCAAUCUUUUUGAAUUUACUGAGGCUCUUUUUGUGGCCUAGUAUGUGGUCUAUUCUGGAGAAUGUUCCAUGUGCACUUGAGAAGAAUGUGUAUCCUCUUGCUUUUGGGGGUAGAGUUCUAUAGAUGUCUAUUAGGUCCAUCUGUUCUAGUGUGUUGUUCAGUGCCUCUGUGUCCUUACUUAUUUUCUGUCUGGUGGAUCUGUCCUUUGGAGUGAAUGGUGUGUUGAAGUCUCAUGAAAUGAAUUCAUUGCAGUCUAUUUCCUCCUUUAGUUCUGUUAGUAUUUGUUUCACAUAUGCUGGUGCUCCUGUGUUGGGUGCAUAUAUAUUUAUAAUGGUUAUAUCCUCUUGUUGGACUGACCCCUUUAUCAUUAUGUAGUGUCCUUCUUUAUCUCUUGUUAACUUUCUUUGUUUUGAAGUCUUAUUUUGUCUGAUACUAGUACUGCAACACCUGCUUUUUUCUCCCUAUUGUUUGCCUGAAAUAUGUUUUUCCAUCCCUUGACUUUAAGUCUGUGCAUGUCUUUGGGUUUGAGGUGAGUCUCUUGUAAGCAGCAUAUAGAUGGGUCUUGUUUUUUUAUCCAUUCAGUAACUCUAUGUCUUUUGAUUAGUGUAUUCAGUCCAUUUACAUUUAGGGUGAUUAUCGAUAGGUAUGUAUUUAUUGCCAUUUCAGGCUUUAGAUUCAUGGUUACCAAAGGUUCCAGGUUGCUUUCCUUACUAUCUAAGAGUCUAACUUAACGCACUUAGUAUGCUGUUACAAACACAAUCUAAAGGUUCUUUUGUAUUUCUCCUCCUUUUUCUUCCUCUUUCAUUCUUUAUAUAUUAGGUAUCAGAUUCUAUACUUUUUCUCUAUCCCUUGAUUGGCUUUGGGGAUAGUCAAUUUAAUUUUGCAUUUGCCUCACUAUCAGCUGCUCCACCCUCCCUACCAUGAUUUUACUACCUCUGGUGACAGCUAUCCAACCCUAGGAACACUUCCAUCUAUAGCAGUCCCUCCAAAAUAUACUGUAGAGAUGGUUUGUGCGAGGUAAACUCUCUCAACUUUUGCUUAUCUGGAAAUUGUUUAAUCCCCCCUUCAAAUUUAAAUGAUAAUCUCGCCAGAUAAAGUAAUCUUGGUUCCAGGCCCUUCUGCUUCAUGGCAUUAAAUACAUCAUGCCACUCCCUUCUGGC